CGGAGCUUGCUCCACCGGAAAAAGAAGAGUGGCGAACGGGUGAGUAACACGUGGGUAACCUGCCCAUCAGAAGGGGAUAACACUUGGAAACAGGUGCUAAUACCGUAUAACAAUCGAAACCGCAUGGUUUUGAUUUGAAAGGCGCUUUCGGGUGUCGCUGAUGGAUGGACCCGCGGUGCAUUAGCUAGUUGGUGAGGUAACGGCUCACCAAGGCCACGAUGCAUAGCCGACCUGAGAGGGUGAUCGGCCACAUUGGGACUGAGACACGGCCCAAACUCCUACGGGAGGCAGCAGUAGGGAAUCUUCGGCAAUGGACGAAAGUCUGACCGAGCAACGCCGCGUGAGUGAAGAAGGUUUUCGGAUCGUAAAACUCUGUUGUUAGAGAAGAACAAGGAUGAGAGUAACUGUUCAUCCCUUGACGGUAUCUAACCAGAAAGCCACGGCUAACUACGUGCCAGCAGCCGCGGUAAUACGUAGGUGGCAAGCGUUGUCCGGAUUUAUUGGGCGUAAAGCGAGCGCAGGCGGUUUCUUAAGUCUGAUGUGAAAGCCCCCGGCUCAACCGGGGAGGGUCAUUGGAAACUGGGAGACUUGAGUGCAGAAGAGGAGAGUGGAAUUCCAUGUGUAGCGGUGAAAUGCGUAGAUAUAUGGAGGAACACCAGUGGCGAAGGCGGCUCUCUGGUCUGUAACUGACGCUGAGGCUCGAAAGCGUGGGGAGCAAACAGGAUUAGAUACCCUGGUAGUCCACGCCGUAAACGAUGAGUGCUAAGUGUUGGAGGGUUUCCGCCCUUCAGUGCUGCAGCUAACGCAUUAAGCACUCCGCCUGGGGAGUACGACCGCAAGGUUGAAACUCAAAGGAAUUGACGGGGGCCCGCACAAGCGGUGGAGCAUGUGGUUUAAUUCGAAGCAACGCGAAGAACCUUACCAGGUCUUGACAUCCUUUGACCACUCUAGAGAUAGAGCUUCCCCUUCGGGGGCAAAGUGACAGGUGGUGCAUGGUUGUCGUCAGCUCGUGUCGUGAGAUGUUGGGUUAAGUCCCGCAACGAGCGCAACCCUUAUUGUUAGUUGCCAUCAUUCAGUUGGGCACUCUAGCAAGACUGCCGGUGACAAACCGGAGGAAGGUGGGGAUGACGUCAAAUCAUCAUGCCCCUUAUGACCUGGGCUACACACGUGCUACAAUGGGAAGUACAACGAGUCGCGAAGUCGCGAGGCUAAGCUAAUCUCUUAAAGCUUCUCUCAGUUCGGAUUGUAGGCUGCAACUCGCCUACAUGAAGCCGGAAUCGCUAGUAAUCGCGGAUCAGCACGCCGCGGUGAAUACGUUCCCGGGCCUUGUACACACCGCCCGUCACACCACGAGAGUU
RNAcentral lists this ribosomal RNA (1358 nucleotides) under Enterococcus durans. RNAcentral's name for it is "bacterial SSU rRNA". It matches the Rfam family "Bacterial small subunit ribosomal RNA", at positions 74 to 1412 of the family's 1533-position model. Lineage: Bacteria; Bacillati; Bacillota; Bacilli; Lactobacillales; Enterococcaceae. The record is from RNAcentral.